This is a non-coding RNA of Prunus mume (Japanese apricot), 655 nucleotides long. The record is from RefSeq and is a predicted model, not a curated record. NCBI's taxonomy places the organism in Eukaryota, Viridiplantae, Streptophyta, Magnoliopsida, Rosales, Rosaceae.
AUUUGGCACCAGAGUGCGAAAUACGAGGGCAAUUGACAAGGAAAGCAGAUAUUUAUAGCUUUGGGAUGCUUCUUGAGGAAAUAGUCACUGGAAGAUGUAAUACAAAUACAUGACUACCAAUUGACGAACAGUAUCUGCUUGAAAGGACAUGACAAGUCUACAAGUGGAAGGAGCUUGUUGGGCUGGUAGACACAUCAUUGGAUGGUGAUUUUGAUGCCGAGGAGGCUUGUUUUCUCUUCUCUUCGAGGUUGAGGCUGACUUCCCUCUUUUUCUUCCUAUUAUUGAGUUCUACCCUAUUUCAGUGACACACCAUAUGAGGCAGUUAAAAUCUACAAAGGGAAAAUUGCAUCCAAGGGAGAAGCAUGUGCAAACUGGAGAGUGUACAAGCUUGUGUCUUAUUGUGCCUGUGGAAAAAUGUGCAAGAAGGUAGCUAACUCACACACCCAAGAACAAAGUGAUGAAGUUAAGAUAGAAUGCAGAGGAAAAUUGGCGGUGAUAAAUGUAUAGCACUAUAUACAUAUGGAGAACUUGACUUAAAGGAUAAUUAGGUAAAAGGAAUUUUGGUGUAUUAUUGUAAUUAGGCUUGCAGCUUGCAGCUAGCGGCCCUAGAGUACUUUCAUUUUUCAGAUUUUAUUUUGUUCUAUUGUACUAUUGA